CCCGCAGGUGGGCCGCUCCUCGCUGCUGGUGGGGGGCCUGAAGCCACAGUAUGCGCAGGAGCUGCUGGCAGAGCGCGCCCCGCAGCACGACAACACCACAACCACCGACUCCGAGAUGGAAGAGCCCUACCUGCAAGCAGUGUCCAAAGAGGAGGGGGCUCCCCCAAAGCUGAAGUGUGAGCUGUGCGGUCGCGUCGACUUCGCCUACAAGUUCAAGCGCUCCAAGCGUUUCUGCUCCAUGGCGUGUGCCAAGAGGUACAACGUGGGCUGUACGAAGCGCGUGGGGCUGUUCCACCCCGAUCGCAACAAGCUG
Molecule: non-coding RNA, 313 nt
Organism: Meleagris gallopavo (turkey)
Lineage: Eukaryota; Metazoa; Chordata; Aves; Galliformes; Phasianidae
Source: RefSeq, a predicted model, not a curated record